UUACCUACGGGAGGCAGCAGUGGGGGAUAUUGCACAAUGGGGGAAACCCUGAUGCAGCGACGCCGCGUGGGUGAAGAAGCGCCUCGGCGCGUAAAGCCCUGUCAGCAGGGAAGAAAAUGACGGUACCUGAAGAAGAAGCCCCGGCUAACUACGUGCCAGCAGCCGCGGUAAUACGUAGGGGGCAAGCGUUAUCCGGAUUUACUGGGUGUAAAGGGAGCGUAGACGGCUGUGCAAGUCAGAAGUGAAAGCCCGGGGCUCAACCGCGGGACUGCUUUUGAAACUGUGUAGCUGGAGUGCAGGAGAGG
This 305-nucleotide ribosomal RNA is filed under the name uncultured bacterium. RNAcentral's name for it is "bacterial SSU rRNA". It matches the Rfam family "Bacterial small subunit ribosomal RNA", at positions 335 to 657 of the family's 1533-position model. The record is from RNAcentral.